GCGGGCUUUCAGAGUAAAAGACCUUCGCUGCUCGUGACUCCCGAUGACUCCAAGAAGCCGGAAGAAGCUGGCGCCCCCUGCGGACCGGCAGAAGCUCCACCUGGUGUGUCGUUCUGAUUGGCUGACUCCUUCCUGGAGGCGGGGCAUUAGCUGACAUGGCUGCCAUCACCCAAGCGGUCCUCUGUAGAUCAGGGGUGCCUAAACUUUGCAGCCUGUGACUCUAAAAUACACUGGUCAUGUAUUCCACUUUAUUUAAAUAUGCUUCUUUGAAUUAAAUUAAUUUAUGAAAACAAUUAAAGGGUGUAGUGCAUUAUUUAAUGGAGCUAAAGCUAAAACUCAAAAAUAACCUUUUAAUUUCAAAAGUUUUUUUUCCUUUCAGAACUGCAGGUGCUCCCAGGCGGCGCUGCAGCCCAGCCUCACCUGGGCGGCGGCCGGGUCACCAGGUGAGAAAAGAGACGCAGGAAGCAGCUUGUGUUGAACUUUAUUGAUCAUCUGCAGUGAGUCUGCUGCAGCUCAAUCGGUUAAAUUAGCUGCAGUUUACAGCAAUAACUUACGCUUUACAGUGUUACUCGUUUCCAUGGUGACAGGACAGGAAGCAUCAGGUUCUGAACAAAGCCAGGUACGCUGCCGGUUCUGUUGGGUACUGGUCCGAAAGGUAAGGUUCCGAUCAGAAGUUUAACUGGACCUGAUUGGAUCGAAGGUUAGUGGGUUAAUCAGACCCGGCACGAAGGUUCUGGUUCUGGUACCGGACCACAGACCGGGCUGUGUUCAGAACCAAACCUUCCAGACGCUACAGCUACCAGAAACAUCAUCACCUUCAGGUCGCCAUGGGAAUGCUGUUCUGAAGGGGCGGGGCCAUGCAGGGCAGGGGGCGGAGCUAAGCGCUACAGAUCAGUGGUAUAAAAACAUAGAAA
Poecilia latipinna (sailfin molly) is the source of this 914-nucleotide long non-coding RNA. RefSeq lists it as uncharacterized. The record is from RefSeq and is a predicted model, not a curated record. The transcript is spliced from 2 exons. Lineage: Eukaryota; Metazoa; Chordata; Actinopteri; Cyprinodontiformes; Poeciliidae.